AGAGUUUGAUUAUGGCUCAGGGUGAACGCUGGCGGCGUGCUUAACACAUGCAAGUCGAACGGGCACCCUGACAGAGGCUUCGGCCAAUUGAUAGGAAUGCCUAGUGGCGGACGGGUGAGUAACGCGUGAGUAACCUGCCUGGGAGUGGGGAAUAACACAUCGAAAGGUGUGCUAAUACCGCAUAACACUUUAGUAGGAUCGCAUGGUUUUACUGUCAAAGAUUUAUCGCUUUCAGAUGGACUCGCGUCUGAUUAGUUAGUUGGCGGGGUAACGGCCCACCAAGACGACGAUCAGUAGCCGGACUGAGAGGUUGACCGGCCACAUUGGGACUGAGACACGGCCCAGACUCCUACGGGAGGCAGCAGUGGGGAAUAUUGGGCAAUGGGCGCAAGCCUGACCCAGCAACGCCGCGUGAAGGAAGAAGGCUUUCGGGUUGUAAACUUCUUUGACAGAGGACGAAGAAAGUGACGGUACUCUGAAAACAAGCCACGGCUAACUACGUGCCAGCAGCGGC
Molecule: ribosomal RNA, 514 nt
Filed under: uncultured bacterium
Lineage: Bacteria
Description: bacterial SSU rRNA
Rfam family: Bacterial small subunit ribosomal RNA
Source: RNAcentral